Molecule: long non-coding RNA, 2434 nt
Filed under: Ricinus communis (castor bean)
Lineage: Eukaryota; Viridiplantae; Streptophyta; Magnoliopsida; Malpighiales; Euphorbiaceae
Description: long non-coding RNA (RCOM_LNC002437)
Source: RNAcentral
GGUAAUCCACAUUCUACGAUCUUUUUCUUUCCUUUCCUUUGCAGAGAAUCAACACUUUCCUUUGAUAGAAUAUUCCUUUGCACACCUUGUUGACCAGUAGACAUGUUAUGUGAUUCCCCUUCUUGCCCAAUUAGGGCCUUAAAUCUUGAGCCGGAUUUUCUAGACGUUGAUGGCGAUUCUGUAGGACUUUCCUUCUUUUGAUUUCUGCGAGGUCUAUGUUGGGCAUGGAUCCAGGGACCAUAUUGACCCGACCAGUCAGUUGCAAGCGAGACCUCCAAUGUCUCUCCAUGGCGGUUAGCCAUAUUUUCCUCCAUACUCCUUUUGUUAGGGCACAUGACUUGACUAUGUCCAACAAUUCCACAUUCAAAACACACUUGAGGUUCGUAUUCAACUUUUUGCAUGAAUCAUUCAGACUGGUGAGCAAAGGUUUCUUCAAGUUCGACUGCGACACGCGCAAACUGCUCUCUAUUUGCUAGUUGAGUAUUCAUAUCAACUGUAAUUGUUUUCCUAACAACGUUGCCAAUUGUCUCUAAAAUUUGCUCAUACUAGUACUGCAUUGACAUCUUUGGAAGUCUGACCCAAGACAUCAUUGAGGAAACCACUGCAUUGGUUGCCCAAAAUUUCAGAAUCCAUUCUUGUACAGUUAAGUAAUGGCCAAGAAUAGUCCAAGGACCAUCCAAAAUUAUGUGUUCCAAAUCCUCCUUAAGGGCUAGUUUAAUCAAGAAAAAUCCAUUGUCAAGAUCAAUAACUUUGUAAUGACCUCGCAGCUUCCAGAUAGUCAUGAUUCCAUUGCAUAAAUUUUAUAACCCAAAGGUCUACCCCAUAAUUUAACUACAAUGAAGUUCUCCCGUUGCGAAACUCAUUUGAUAACAUGAUACUAGGACCAGAAGGCUCCAAAUGGACUAUAAUAUCACCUUAAAUUCAAUAUAAAAAAUUAUAUCAAAAUACAUCUCAUCCGGGUUCACUAGAAGGCUUUCUUUAUAAGUCUUCAGGGCAUUAUCCUCCAUAUCCAUAUCUUGCUGAUGCUCAAUGUUUUGAUCUGAAUCCAUACAUGAAUUCUCCAUAUUGAUAUUACUGUGAAACUUGACUUUCAUAGUAGGGCGGUCUUCGUUAGACAGGAGAGGAAGGUUUUCCUCAAGAGAAUUUUCCAUCCCACUUUUACUAGUUUUUUUUUCUUUCUCUAUUACUUUCCUCUACUCUUUUUCCUUCCCAUUCCCCUGUAAUUUCUAAAUCCUAAUCAAUGCUCAUUGCACAAACACGUCUUAUCAAUUAUAGUACGAGGUAAUUACUAUAUAAGAUUUUUUUUUUCUUUUAUAUAACUUAUAGACAAUACCAAUUAUAUAGUAACAUAUAAUACUAAUUAUGUAGUGAUAUAUGAUACCAACUAUAUAGUGAUAUGUGAUAUUAUCUACCGAUAACAUGGUAUUAUAUGUUUUUUUAUAUUUUUUAUAUUGGCGUUAUUUAUCUCUUAAUAUUUUAAAUUUAUAUUUUUUUAUCUUUCUAUAUUUUAAUUUUAUAUUAAAAAAAUUUAUUUUAUAAUUUUAUAUUAAAUAGUAAUUCCACUCUAAAUUUCAUAAAACAAUGUUAACUAGGUGGUUUUAUAUUAUUUCUUAUCUAAAUUACUUCUUAAAUUUUGUUUAUUAUACUAAAUAUUUUAUAUUUUUAAAGUCAAUAUAAUUAUAAAAUUAAAAUAAUAGAAAAAGGAUAAGUUGGUCCUUGAACUUUCUUAUUAAAGUUAUAAUUAAUUUACAAAAUAAAUAAUAAGAAAAAUGUUUAUUUUAUUUUAAUAAUUUAAAGUCAAAUUAUAUAAAUUUUUAUAUUUUACUAAAUAAAAAUACUUUUAAAAUAUUUAAACUUUAUUAAAAUUAAAUUAUGCUAAGAAUUAAAAUAAGUAAAAAAUAUUAAUUAAUUAUUUUUAUAUAAAUGCUAAAGUUAGAUAUUGUAAAAAUACAUAUUUAUUUUGAUUGAUAUAAAUAAUUUUAUACGAGUCUGAUAGUUAAAUAUAACAAAUUACAUUGUGACAAAUGAGAACCGGCAAAAUUCGGUAUUAACGUGCUAAUAAAUUCUAUAAAAAAUAGAUGGGUUAAUCUAAGGGCUCAUGAGUUUCUGUAUUUUCAUUACCAUUUUCUUCAAUUCUGUUGAUGCUUCUACAUAUAUGAACUGGGUCCAUCUUCAAUUGUUUUUGGUUAUUCAAUUCUGUUAGUUGAUGCAAGCAAAAAAAAACUCAGCUCCCACAGGCUGAAAACUCUCUUCUUUUUCUUCGCUUGUAAUAGCAUUUGAAUUUGCUUUCCACGUUAAGAGGGAAGCACUCCAGAUUGACUUCACCUGGAUCACUUCCUGGGUUCAUCACAGGAUUAAUAAGCCCUUCACCACUGGCACUAUACUAUUGCUAGUGCUAUUGCUUGCAGAAAUCCUGGUGGAAAAAGAAAUGGUC